Molecule: ribosomal RNA, 229 nt
Filed under: uncultured bacterium
Lineage: Bacteria
Description: partial 16S ribosomal RNA
Rfam family: Bacterial small subunit ribosomal RNA
Source: RNAcentral
UGGGCAACCUGCCCCAGACACUGGGAUAACUCCGGGAAACCGGGGCUAAUACCGGAUACUCUCAGCCGACCGCAUGACCGGCUGAGGAAAGCUCCGGCGGUCUGGGAUGGGCCCGCGGCCUAUCAGCUUGUUGGUGGGGUCAUGGCUCACCAAGGCGACGACGGGUAGCCGGCCUGAGAGGGUGACCGGCCACACUGGGACUGAGACACGGCCCAGACUCCUACGGGAG